CUGUGAACUCGAAGAGUAGGGCGGGACACGUGGUAUCCUGUCUGAAUAUGGGGGGACCAUCCUCCAAGGCUAAAUACUCCUGACUGACCGAUAGUGAACCAGUACCGUGAGGGAAAGGCGAAAAGAACCCCGGCGAGGGGAGUGAAAAAGAACCUGAAACCGUGUACGUACAAGCAGUGGGAGCACCUUCGGGUGUGACUGCGUACCUUUUGUAUAAUGGGUCAGCGACUUAUAUUCUGUAGCAAGGUUAACCGUAUAGGGGAGCCGCAGGGAAACCGAGUCUUAACUGGGCGUUAAGUUGCAGGGUAUAGACCCGAAACCCGGUGAUCUAGCCAUGGGCAGGUUGAAGGUUGGGUAACACUAACUGGAGGACCGAACCGACUAAUGUUGAAAAAUUAGCGGAUGACUUGUGGCUGGGGGUGAAAGGCCAAUCAAACCGGGAGAUAGCUGGUUCUCCCCGAAAGCU
Molecule: ribosomal RNA, 466 nt
Filed under: Klebsiella pneumoniae
Lineage: Bacteria; Pseudomonadati; Pseudomonadota; Gammaproteobacteria; Enterobacterales; Enterobacteriaceae
Description: partial 23S ribosomal RNA
Rfam family: Bacterial large subunit ribosomal RNA
Source: RNAcentral